RNAcentral lists this ribosomal RNA (334 nucleotides) under uncultured soil bacterium. RNAcentral's name for it is "bacterial SSU rRNA". It matches the Rfam family "Bacterial small subunit ribosomal RNA", at positions 26 to 363 of the family's 1533-position model. The record is from RNAcentral.
AGAUUGAACGCUGGCGGCAGGCCUAACACAUGCAAGUCGAGCGGUAGAGGUGCUUGCAUCUCUUGAGAGCGGCGGACGGGUGAGUAAUGCCUAGGAAUCUGCCUAGUGGUGGGGGAUAACGUUCGGAAACGGACGCUAAUACCGCAUACGUCCUACGGGAGAAAGCGGGGGACCUUCGGGCCUCGCGCCAUUAGAUGAGCCUAGGUCGGAUUAGCUAGUUGGUGAGGUAAUGGCUCACCAAGGCGACGAUCCGUAACUGGUCUGAGAGGAUGAUCAGUCACACUGGAACUGAGACACGGUCCAGACCUCCGUACGGGAGCAGCAGUGGGGAAUA